GUGACCACGUUUUGAGCCAGCUAGCUACAGGAUAAAACAUACUAAGCGCUAGGGCGAGUCUUGUGGUGUGCACUGUUCGUUCAAGAAUUACAGAAUUACACUACUGUGCACUGUCAAUUUAUUUACUAGUAUCACUCGUACCCUUUUUACCAGAAAAGUCGACAUUGGAGUGGUUUUGUUUUCUUUUUCUUAGUUAUACAAGGUGUUGUUUUGCUGCCUUCUAUGUUUGCAAUCCUGAAAAUUGCAUGUACAGUCCUGAUAAUGUUACAUACCAUAAACAUUUAUACUAAUAAUGGCAGAUGAUGUGUGUGUUUUACAUGUUCUUUAUUCUUUUCUUUCAUCAUUUAGUCAAGAUUGCUCAAAACAGGCCACGAGUGCUUGUUCUGAGAAAAUAGCAAGCUCCACAUAUUUUGCACUGUUGUCAUCAAGACAACGUGGUAGCAUCGCAUGGUACAGAUUGUUAGCCUGCAGCGAUAUUCAUUGUGAAUGUCACUGGGGGUUUGAUUUACCUUCAAAUUUUAUUUCAACUGGAUUGUGGUGGUUCUUUCUUGCUGGCCACAUUCAGGUUAAUGGCUCAGGAAGUAUGUUCUGGUCAGUCGUGACGAAAGUUUUGCAGAUGCAGGGCAUACAAAAUUGGAUUUAAAUCAAGCUGAAUGCUUUGAUAGCUUUUGAUAGUUUCAUAGAGAACGUUGUCACUUCACUGCGUUUCGACAGUAUUGAGCUGUAGGCAUUUUGAGCCUGUCAGCAAGUGGCUACAGUGUGAAAAUGUUUCUAGGUUAACUGGUGUUAAAAAGCCUAGUUUACAUACAUUAAAUAAGUAUUUUCUUUUUACUGUUUCUACAGAAUACAUUGUUCCCACAGAACAUGACGAAAUCUAGCAGGAUAGAAACAAGGAUGUAAGGGUGGGAGGUAAAGGUUGCUACGAUAGCAGUAUGAUGAUAUGCCUGUUCCAGUAUGGUUUGGUACAAUGUCAGCAGAUUAUGCAAUAAAUAUAUACAAACACAGAUAAAAACGAUAGUUAGUUAAUAUUAUUGUAAUAUUUGUGAUGCAAGGUAGGCUUGAAAACCUGGAAAUUAAACUAUUGAUAACACCCAGGCUGAGGAUUCUCCAUAAAAAAUGCGGCCGUGGUUCGUCUGUGUAUAAUUCACUUGGACAAGUGAACUUCUUGUCACUGUUGCAUUAUGCAGCAUUGUUUUUUGAAGCUCAAGGCCAUUUAUUAUUUAGCUUAAUUAAGCACUGACGUAUAUGUGUACAUUAAUAUAUAUACAAAAAUAAGUAUACACUUACUGCACUUCACUUUGGUCAUGUACAUUUUAUUACUGUUACUCAUGUGUGCUUGUCAUGGUUAGUGUUGUGUAUUGUCCACCAGUCGUAUUUGUACUUUCUUUUCCUUUACUAAUGAAAGAGGCACAAAGUAAUGUAAGGAUAAAUGCCUGAAAGGUUGUGAACUGCCUGAUUUUCAUAGUUGUUUUCUGUAGGCUUCCUACAAUGCCCAAAUCUGAACAGAUGCUUGACUGACACAAAUUUGUUUUCGUUGUGUAAGUGUGAGUGAUGUCAUGUGUAGAUCUUGUGCACCAUCUAUAAUGUUUGUCCCACAUGUUUUGAGCAUGCAUCACCUGUGCCUCCCAUGCUGUUUUCUUACUUUCUGGUUUUUGUGCUUGAAAUUUUGGCUGCACAUUAGUGGUAGUACUGUGAUUUUGGCAUGUGCUUCGAUUCCAGCAAUGAUUGCUAGAAUUUGUUGUCUGUUUAGUGGGGAGAUUCUCAAAGAAAAAGGCUGCUCAAGUGCAGAAUAUUUGUUGGAAUAAAAAAAAAAAAGUCACAGUAUUGAAGCCUUACAAUGCAUCCACAUGUACAGGGUGACCCAGAAGGUAACAGAGAAAGUAAAUAUUUAACAUUUGAAGAUUGCAAACCAUAGCAAGAUGCAAUUUUCACAGAAAUGAACAAAAAUGUUUUUAAAAAAUCGCGUUGACAAGUCUCGAUGACAACAGUAUGCAGUCCAUACUGUAUGCAGUCCAACAGUAUGCAGUCCAUACUGGAGUCCAUACGAGUAUGCAGUCUUUACUUUGGGAAUUAUUAUACUUUUAUUUAUUGUGUUACUUCUGGCUCACCUAGGAUACUUGUGAGCAUCAAUUUUGUGUAUUUCUACAUAAAACAGCACUUUAAUCUUGUCACACUUCUUUACAAAAAUUAUUGAAUGCUCUCUUCAUGGAACAUCUCAAGAUCAUUUUGGCCAGCAUCACAACUGGUUCUCGGAACUUGCUCAUUGACACAGUGAUUUUUGCAAGAGGUUUGAUGCACAUGCUGCAAGCACAAGGUGCUAUCUAAGGGUGCUGAUGGGCUUUGAUCGUUAGACUGGCAAUAGUGCUUAGUGGUCAUACAUCAUGCGUGUAUGAUGUGCACAGCUAAUGGGUAAAUACUUUCACAAGGCAGUGAGAAUGUUAUCUCGUUAUGCAUUUGAGAAGGCAGUACCAAAAAGGGUAACUUGAGAGAAGUGGCAUGUCACAGCUUUGUAGUAUGGAAAAGAUAUUAUGGUUCUGGACAAAGGUUGAUUUGGACUUAUCAUUAUCAUUGCAGCAUUCCAAAGAGCUGAGCUCUAGAACUGGACUUAAUAUAAUUUUCAAGUACUGACAUGAUGGACGCAUUUCAUUGCUUUGCUAACUGGUCAGGGCAUCAUCAGCAUAUCCUUAUUAGAGUUUGCUGCUGAUGCCAUAUUUCAUACUUUGUUGCACUUUCCAAGAAACAUUUAACAUGAAAUAUGUAGACUAGCAUGGCACUGUAAACUGCAUUUAUUAAUUCUUACUUUUAUUGUUGCAGGCAUUAGAGAACCAUCGUUCAUGCACAAUUUAUACCUCAGGAAUUGAUUUAAUUAUUAGUUAAACCAUUCAGUCGGCACCAUUUGCCAUUUCAACCUGCUAUGCUGUUCAGACUUCACAUUGACUCGGUCAUAAAUAAGAUCAACUUGUAUAUGUAUGUUUAGGUAAACAUUUUCUUCGUGUCCUGAUGUAACAGUCAAAUACAGCAAUCUGGGACAGUCAAACACAUUGAUGAAAUGAAGUUGCUUGGAGAACGCUUACAAUGACAUUUGUAGAAAAGUGUGAUGCAGUGUGAAGGCCAAAGUUUUGUACGCUUGCUGGCGCGCAAACGCCCGCACCCGCACACCUUGCAUUUGUCGUGCCUUGCGAGGAAUGGUGGUUUGAACCUACAAGACUCUUGCCGCACAUUUUCGCCUUGGUAGACAUCGUUUCGUAUUUUUGUGAGGCAGCCAGAGCACCAACAUUUGUCUGGAGAAGAUAGACAGCUUUAGAAUAGGCUUUGUCUCCUUACGUAUGUUAAAUGCAAGCACCUUUGCGAAACGUUUCGGUGUACAUCCCUUCAAGACUUCAGUUUAAAGUACGGAAACGCAAACGCAAGGAAGAUGCUAGAAGGCAGGGCGCUGUCUGGUGCCUCGUGCCAAAUGCACCCAAGCCUACACAAUAUAAUAACAACCUUCCUGUUGCUAUGCGGACACGUCUCGUUAGGCCUAUGGGCGCCGGAAUCGCAAAACCAUUUCAUAAAUUGGACACGCUAUGCGCUCAUAACUAACAUUUCAGGUGAGUUUAGAGAAAGCAAAAGCUCAUUUCAAUAGUUACUGGCGAUCAACGUGAGUGAGAACGCAGCGAUCAAGAGAAUUCAUGCUAAAGCGGGAGCCAUGGGUGCAGCCAUGUUGGACGAGGCUAUUUCUUAGCGUGCACAUAUCUGUGCUUGCGCCGCACUUCGGCGCGUACGAUCUGUCCUGCACCAUCUGCACAUGAGUGAGGUGCGGGGGCGUGAGAUUUCGCGUGCCGGCAUGCGUGGGCAUAGUUUGGCUUUUAGGCUUCACCAUUGUGCUAGUACUCCAUGCCCUUGAUUGACUUUGGAGGCCUAUUUUGUCAGCAUCCUACAGUUUAGUGCAGCAGUCAGCUAUUUUUCAUUGUUAAUGCUUCACAUGUUAAAAAAAAAAAAGGUGCUUGCGCUCAUCAGGAUAAGGCAAGAACAGGGCCACUUUUUUGUAGCGGUGCUUUUUCCCAAUAUUAAUGCCUUUCGGCGCUUUUCGUGUUAGUGAGUGAUCAAAGCUAUGCUUCGCCCGGGGUGGAGCAAUAUUUUGACCACUCACAAUUGCGAAAAGCGAUGAAAGGCAUUAGCAUGGGGGAAAAGCAUCGCUACAAAAUAGUGGCCCAGAGCAAGGUUUGGGCAUGUCCUUUACGAUUUCUCUAUAACACAGGGUGUAGAUUCCAAUCCCAGAAGUUUGUAUAAUACUCUUCUAUAUCUGUGAGCACACGUACACGCACACGAUGCUUUGAGGCAUAUCUCUGUGAUAUUGCAGUGCCCCAAGACUCGGUCUCGCUCUACAACGAAUAGACAUUUGUUUGUCAGAAAUCUCACUCCUUGGUACACUGCCAAAGUAACUUGUACUGCACUAGCACAGCUUUAUGGACAAUUUAGGAAAAAUACAGAAAAGACGUAGCAUUUCGGAAGAUAUCUUGAAUUGCAUAAAAAGGGAGAAAUGUAAUUGUGGUCCUUUGUUGUUAUUUUUCUUAUUCGUGGGGCUUUCAUCAGUUCAUUAAAGCUUGAGUACUGUUGUUUAUAAAAUGUUUUAUCUUAUGUAGUGGUAUAAAGCUUGUUUUAAAGUGUGGCCCGUAACACAGUAACCAUUUGUCACAGUGAAGGACAGGAAAUUUACUUAAUAAUAAGCAGAAUUUUGUUAAACGCAGAGAGGCCCCAAAAGAGCCAUGGUAACAUGGGAUGUACACUCCAAUGGUGCAGGAGCUCGCAUCACCUAUAUUGAAUCAAAGCCACGCUCAGUGGUAGGGACAUGAUAUUCAUAAAACUUUGCUGAUAUAUGUGGUCAGCUGCCUCAUAUGUUAUCCUUGCAUGAAGAUAGUCUGUCCUGAGGAGCUGCCACAAUGUGCCAAAGUGACUUUCACAGAAUUCUUUGGCCACCCCAACAUGAUAGACAAAAAGAAAUGGUUACUGUAUAUUCUACACCAGUUGGUCUCACUCAGAUUUGCAGCUCUUUACUAAGUGGAUGCUGACACCGCUCCACUUUGAUUAACUUGGUUCUAAAAUGCAUUCACAGCAGUUGGGACUAUGAAAAACUUUGAACUCGAUACUUCUAAUAAAGUGAUUUCAGUUGUAACAAUGUAUUGUAUAAUGCGCUGCUAUAAGGUCAAAUUUGUGAGACCCAAUUUGAACAAAGCUCCCUGCUCUGGUUGAAUUUGUCUUUCGCAAGAACAAAUGUUUCUGUGGUGUGCUAAAGUUACUGUAACAAUACAAAUGCAUGAUGUUGCCUGCGCAAACUGCUAAACAUUCUUAAACUACAAAGUGUGAACAUUUUACACUUGCACAGCCUAGAUCUUCAUUGUGAGCACUGUAUUUUGGAUCUGUUAGUUUAUAUUAUAGGGUUUCACUCUGAAAUCACCAUCUGGUGCUUGGGCCUCUGAUAAGUGCCGGUGUGGUGGUAAAGCCAGUGUGGGAAUAAUGGGCAGUAUGCAAAAUUUUCUAGUUUGGGAGUCUAGCGGAGUAUUCUUGUGGCCUUUUUGUUAUGCUUAUGCUGGAUUUGUUCACUCGCUUUAAUUACAUGACAAAAAAAAAAAGAAAGAGUAGCCUGUUUGUGCAAAGCAAUUAACUGCUCGAAUUAAAUGUUUGGGGUGAGCACACAGUGCAUUCGAGCUUCAAGGGACAAUUAAAUAAGCCACAAUGUUUUCCUGACAACGCCAUUUCAGUGUAGAAAAAUGCAUGUACUGCCUUUGAUUCCCACAAUUAUUGCAGCACCAGGUUUCUCUCUGGUAAUGUUAGCAUGCAACUCUGUGUUUGAAAGGAGUGCUGUCAGACAUGCAAGUUGGGCAGGGCCUUCAUGAUGUCCUGCUGCCUAAAUCAAACCAUGUCACCCCUGCAAGAGAACUUUAGAAGUUGCUGCUUUUUUGCUGCUCUGUUGUCCCAAGCUAAAAUAAAAUUGUCACCACUGCAUUUUGGAUUUUUUUUCUCUGUCCUGAUGCAUGCUCAAGACAUGGUGGACUAUGUGUGUGCACAUUUUUUUCUCUGUAGCAUGUCUUGGCAUGCUUCAUCAUGUAGAAAGCACAUCACAUCAUCUUAUUUCAUUGUGUUUAUGUGGCAUAAGCAACAAUUAAUGUUCUGGCUACUAUAGUUUAGGAACGAACGGAGGGUGUCUCAAUGGAAACUUCCUCGGAUUUAAAAUAGGGGACACGAGAUGAAGCUUUUUCUUUUUUUUUCCAGUCAGGAUUCAUAGCUUUGGUAGACAAUGAAAAUUGCGCUAUAAUCGCGCAACUUUUGAGUUCCUUCACUUCUAGGAAUUUUGGGCAACAAGGAUUGAUUACCAUAUUGGUUGUAAUCCUAUAUUUUAAAUAAUUGAAUACAGUUGUUGCUGGAAGACCCUGUAUAAUGAGCGGGUAGAGGCCUUUUGAAGCAGGCUUGUACAGUAGUGCCAAAUGUCAAGAGUAACAAAUAUUUUUUUUAGAAGUGUGCUUGCUACUUGGUUAGGUUUGUUAAGCGGAAUAAUACCGACAAGAAUUACAUACUGCUAUUUGGGGGAACCAUGUAUUUAAAGUGAGACAUUUAGUGAAUGCCUUAGUUGUGUUAGUAUGGCCAAGUGUUGGUUGCAAAGUACUGUGCAACGGUAAUAUGCAAUUCAUGCACUUCCUAGGAAGACAAGGCUGAAUUUAUUAGGGUAUUCCAUCCUGGUGAGACAUACCAUAGCUUCCGAUUUCAGGGAUUGCUUGACUCUUGAAACUUCUGAGAAGGCAUUAUUUAUUUUAUUUUAUUUCAUAAACGUUGCAUUACAUAAUGCCAAGGCUAUAGGUAACCUUGCCAAUACUUUGCUAUCACUGGGGUAAGCCAGUGGUACCACAGCAGAAGCUGCUCUUCAAGUUACACAUCCAUUAUUUAUCUGUAUUAAGGUUCCUUAAUGUAUUCUGCAGCAAAUUAUCUUUUUUGAGUCCAUAAGAAACAGGACAUAGCUCGCUGCACUUUCUAAAAGACAAUGUUGAAAAAAGUUGAAAACUGGAUUGUUAACAUUUCAUGUACCAGAAAAUGUGUAUAAUGCCAAAGCAUAGUACAACGGCAUUCCUAAAGAGGUGCUGUUGGGCUCAAUAUUGCUGAAUCCCGUUCUGAUUAGUGGUAGCACCCUGCUUACAAGAAAAUUUGCGCUUGUCAAUUUUAUGAUUGAAAUAACUGGCGGGUGUAUGCCCGCGUUGGGGCAACUCAUAUUGAGUGCGAUAGUACAUGUCUGUUGCGAUUUAACGCAUGUGCCAGAGUUUUCAUGUUGCACAGUUCUUGGCAAAAGUAUCUAAGCCACUUUGCCAAUUGACGAAAUCCAUUGUCAGGCCUUGUGGCAAGGCUCCUGUAGCAAGCCUUGUACUCCAGAGCUUAAAUGAUCAAGAGCUGCUGCUCCAUUCAGUCUCUUGAGGCUUCGAAGUGACAAAAGUUAAGGACACACUGCACAAUGAUGCAUGUGGUCCAACAAAUGACUAGCUGUACCAGCAAGCGUGUUCAUUUAGUUUCCAUGUUCCAAUAGGCAUACCAGCCACCUUUUCCUGGCCACGGCGGCUGCAUUUCGAUGGGGGCAAAAUGUGAAAACAACCAUGUACUUAGAUUUAGGUGCACGUUAAAGAACCCCAGGUGGUCCAAAUUAUUCGGGAGCCCCUCACUAUGAUGUGCCUCAUAAUCAAAUUGUGGUUUUGGCACAUAAAGCCCCAUAAUUUUUUUUUUAAUAGCAGCCACCUUUCUGCACAAAUCAUCUGUCUCCCGCUUUUCAGGGGCCCCAAUUCACAGGUUGGUGGUAGGUUCAGUCGCAUGUGCAGUGGGUCGGUAACAUCUGACAGACACUGUAUUCUGUUCUCUUCAGGGUGGGGGCUAUUUCGUGGGGUACUUGAAUGUCAUCUAUUCAGGUACUGAACAAUUUUGUGCAGUAUCUUUUCAGGACGUCAAAUCUGCUUUGUGCAUAGUUAUGCAACACUGCUAAUACAAAAUUAGCAGUGUUAUAGCUGUAGGGAGGCCCUGCUAUCAGAGAAUUAUGAAGUAAGCAGUAAAGAAAUUUCCCUCCAUAGUUCCUUCAUUCACGCGGACAAUUUAAAACUGGAAGGAUUGUCAGCACAACCAAUAUAGAUUUAUCGAUGUCAACUCCCAACACCAACGAGUGCCAGGCCACCAUCUACAGCAUGGGCAUGGAAAAAAGCACUGCUGGCUGUGUAGUGCAUGCUCAAAGUGUUCGUGUUGUGUGUGCAAAGCCUCUGUCCUCUAGCUGAAAGUCACAUGUCACACAUUGGAAAGCCAGGAUGCUUUUGUCAUGUGGUAUGCACUUUACCUGGUAGAGUAGCAGGCUUUCAUGCCCUUAUAUUAGCUAGUGUAUCAUAAUCCUGCUAUCUGACAUCGGUGUAGCUACAUUCCCAUCUUAUUACAUUCUUUGCCUCAUGUAAG
Dermacentor silvarum is the source of this 8451-nucleotide long non-coding RNA. RefSeq lists it as uncharacterized. The transcript has 2 exons. NCBI's taxonomy places the organism in Eukaryota, Metazoa, Arthropoda, Arachnida, Ixodida, Ixodidae. The record is from RefSeq and is a predicted model, not a curated record.